This 318-nucleotide ribosomal RNA is filed under the name Triticum aestivum (bread wheat). RNAcentral's name for it is "partial small subunit ribosomal RNA". Lineage: Eukaryota; Viridiplantae; Streptophyta; Magnoliopsida; Poales; Poaceae. The record is from RNAcentral.
AUGCAAAGACUCUUUUGGCCAUUGAAAACAAGCCAUGAAGUAGCUCGGUAUGCCAGCCAGAACGGAGUUAAUGAGAGUGAGUCUGCCACCCCAAGAGAGAAACGUGGCCAGCCAACCAGAGGGGCAACGAUCAACUUUGUGGAUAACCGGAAGCAGCAUACCAUGCUUGAUCUUGUGCAAGGAGAGGGGCAUCCCCAGGUAAGUACAGGGAAAGGAGGAGAUCGGGCAACCCAGAAUGCUGGCAAUCUCCACAUCCACUUCCUGUUGCACACAAACAGGCACCAAGGUGCUUUUGUGGAAGUUGAUAGUCAGCCCUGA